Long non-coding RNA from Macrobrachium nipponense, 461 nucleotides. RefSeq lists it as uncharacterized. The record is from RefSeq and is a predicted model, not a curated record. The transcript is spliced from 3 exons. Lineage: Eukaryota; Metazoa; Arthropoda; Malacostraca; Decapoda; Palaemonidae.
GAAGAAAGAGGUCAGUUUGGUACACGCCAGUUGUCGGGAGAGAAAACCCCAUCUAAAAGGAUGACCUGCUGAAAAAGAGGGGGAAGCUGCCCCCAACACCCAAGCUUCGCGCCAGACAACGUUCUCAGUCCACUCCAGUCCGUGACCUAGGACAGAUGUCGAAGCCACCCUGCCUAUAGGCCUACAAAAGGGGCUAAAUGGCGCCCCCGACCUCAGACAAAGCUAACGCCUUAUUCUUCAAAGGUCCACUACAUAAGGCAUCCAGAUUUUUGCUGAGUCACGUGUCAUGUCUCCUCGCACGCAAGAGCUUCCUUACAGCAAGAUACCUAUUAUCAAUUUUGGAAACCAGCAUUGAAUUAGAUUUGAUGGUGGCCAGUUUUUCGAUAUUGUGAGAGAUAGGAGCGAUCCAGACAUUAUGCAGCGCUCUGCCCCACGUGGCUCUAUGCCGUGCCUUUAUCCCA